RNAcentral lists this transfer RNA (86 nucleotides) under Pyrobaculum ferrireducens. RNAcentral describes it as "tRNA-Ser". It matches the Rfam family "tRNA". From Rfam's summary of the family: Transfer RNA (tRNA) molecules are approximately 80 nucleotides in length. Their secondary structure includes four short double-helical elements and three loops (D, anti-codon, and T loops). Further hydrogen bonds mediate the characteristic L-shaped molecular structure. tRNAs have two regions of fundamental functional importance: the anti-codon, which is responsible for specific mRNA codon recognition, and the 3' end, to which the tRNAs corresponding amino acid is attached (by aminoacyl-tRNA synthetases). tRNAs cope with the degeneracy of the genetic code in two manners: having more than one tRNA (with a specific anti-codon) for a particular amino acid; and 'wobble' base-pairing, i.e. permitting non-standard base-pairing at the 3rd anti-codon position. The record is from RNAcentral. Lineage: Archaea; Thermoproteati; Thermoproteota; Thermoprotei; Thermoproteales; Thermoproteaceae.
CCGGGGUGGCCGAGCGGCCCAAGGCGCGGGACUUGAGGCAUCCCGUCCCCGCGAGGGGGCGUGGGUUCAAAUCCCACCCCCGGCGC